This 746-nucleotide ribosomal RNA is filed under the name uncultured bacterium. Its description in RNAcentral is "bacterial SSU rRNA". It matches the Rfam family "Bacterial small subunit ribosomal RNA", at positions 562 to 1308 of the family's 1533-position model. The record is from RNAcentral.
UAAGCGCGCGCAGGCGGUUUCUUAAGUCUGAUGUGAAAGCCCACGGCUCAACCGUGGAGGGUCAUUGGAAACUGGGAAGCUUGAGUGCAGAAGAGGAGAGUGGAAUUCCAUGUGUAGCGGUGAAAUGCGUAGAGAUAUGGAGGAACACCAGUGGCGAAGGCGACUCUCUGGUCUGCAACUGACGCUGAGGCGCGAAAGCGUGGGGAGCGAACAGGAUUAGAUACCCUGGUAGUCCACGCUGUAAACGAUGAGUGCUAGGUGUCGGGGGGGUCCAACCCUCGGUGCUGUCGCUAACGCAAUAAGCACUCCGCCUGGGGAGUACGGUCGCAAGACUGAAACUCAAAGGAAUUGACGGGGGCCCGCACAAGCGGUGGAGCAUGUGGUUUAAUUCGAAGCAACGCGAAGAACCUUACCAAGUCUUGACAUCCCUUGCACGCUCUAGAGAUAGAGUUUUCCCCUUCGGGGGACAAGGUGACAGGUGGUGCAUGGUUGUCGUCAGCUCGUGUCGUGAGAUGUUGGGUUAAGUCCCGCAACGAGCGCAACCCUUGAUCUUAGUUGCCAGCAUUUAGUUGGGCACUCUAAGGUGACUGCCGGUGACAAACCGGGAGGAAAGUGGGGAUGACGUCAAAUCAUCAUGCCCCUUAUGACUUGGGCUACACACGUGCUACAAUGGUGAUACAAAGGUUGCGAAGUCGCGAGACGGAGCUAAUCCCAUAAAGUCACUCUCAGUUCGGAUUGCAGGCUGC